Long non-coding RNA from Episyrphus balteatus (marmalade hoverfly), 868 nucleotides. RefSeq lists it as uncharacterized. Lineage: Eukaryota; Metazoa; Arthropoda; Insecta; Diptera; Syrphidae. The transcript has 4 exons. The record is from RefSeq and is a predicted model, not a curated record.
UUAGUCACAAUAUUUACCUACUUUGCAAACCAAGAAAUUAAUAUUUCAAAACAGAUAUGACACAGAUAUUUCUUUCUGUUGGUUGACAAAACAAUCUCAGAAGAAGAAAAAACAAACCUCAAUCAAAGGAUUUUAAAACCCAAUUAUUUCAAAAACUGAAAAAUAUCAACUUCCUUUGACCACUAAUUGACCAUCUUUUGAAGAAAGAUACGAAAAGUAAAUGUUUAUCUAGACAUUUCUUUCGGUCUAGUAAUCAUGCCAAUUAUAAGACAGCUCCUUUUGAAUCCCUCAAAAAUAUAAGUGUGCAACAUUCAAAUUACGGAACUGUAUUAGGAUGUGCGAUCGUGCGUUAACAUUUUUCAUUCGAUCUCAAUUACCAUUUCCGAAAAGGAAGCGGAAAAAGAAUAUGUACAUAAAGAAUGGACUUAAAGAAACAGGCGGUAUACCUGAAGACAAUAUUGAGUGCAGGAACUUUAAAAAUUAUUUAAAUGAAGGAAACCAAUGUAGAUCAAUAGCAAAAGGGAUUAAAUAUAUUGAAUCUAUUUUCAUAUUUGCAUAAACCUCAGUAAAUCCUAUUGCCUUCCAAGGGAAAUCUACUUCUGAAAGGAAUUCACUACGAGUGUGUUAGUUGCGGAUUUCCACUAAACGUUCAAACAGGUAAAUUGAAGUCAUUGUUGAGUGAAGAGUCGUCAAUAUUUCUAAAUGAAAAAAUGAAUGCUCCAAAGACACCAAAACCAAGAUAAUUCGACUGUUCUUGUAGGCCAGUUGAACGGUAGAGGUCACUGAAGCUUUUCGGGAAAAUUGAGCUUAAACCAAAAGCGCCAUCUUGGAUUGAACGAAAACUAGUUUUAGUGAAUAACUUGUUGUA